Molecule: ribosomal RNA, 260 nt
Filed under: Microbacteriaceae bacterium ISOM043_OTU518
Lineage: Bacteria; Bacillati; Actinomycetota; Actinomycetes; Micrococcales; Microbacteriaceae
Also listed under: 1 other name
Description: partial 16S ribosomal RNA
Rfam family: Bacterial small subunit ribosomal RNA
Source: RNAcentral
ACGAACGCUGGCGGCGUGCUUAACACAUGCAAGUCGAACGGUGAAGGGGAGCUUGCUCCUUGGAUCAGUGGCGAACGGGUGAGUAACACGUGAGUAACCUGCCCUUGACUCUGGGAUAAGCGUUGGAAACGACGUCUAAUACCGGAUACGACCUUCGGAGGCAUCUCCUGGGGGUGGAAAGAAUUUUGGUCAAGGAUGGACUCGCGGCCUAUCAGGUAGUUGGUGAGGUAAUGGCUCACCAAGCCGACGACGGGUAGCCG